Molecule: long non-coding RNA, 320 nt
Filed under: Homo sapiens (human)
Lineage: Eukaryota; Metazoa; Chordata; Mammalia; Primates; Hominidae
Description: non-protein coding lnc-ZNF644-1:14
Source: RNAcentral
CGCGGCCAAAGGACUACUCCAGGCACCAGUGAGGAAGGGCUUCUAAUGUGAGGAAAAACACGGAAUGACAAGUGUGGGAAAGAGCAAGCACUAAAUUACUGUCAGAAAAAUAAACGGAGUAGCACAGUGCUGCUCGGUGAUUUACGGGGGCAAUUAGUCACCACCCCACGGCGCUGCUGAGGACAGCACGGCAGCAGACAAGUCAGGCCCAUGAGGAAGAAGAGGCUUUGCACUGCUCUCCAGACAACUUUUCAAACAACAAGAGAGGAUAUUUGAGCACAUUAGGUUUUGUGUCUUCAUUCUGGGUACCUACUCUUCAU